AACUGCGAGUUUGAUGGUUGGAUAAAGCCGUGCGUACCAGGGAUGGAGAUCUAGAACUGGAGGGCCUAAAAAGAUCAUCACGGUCACUCUGCUCGAAGAUUAAUGAUUUCUGUUUUUCAGUUUUAUUUGCAUGAAAGCCAUACGUUUUGCCCGAUGCGUAAUGGUUCAUUGUAAGGGCCACCUCAUGUUUCAUUCUGCAACAUUUUGCAUCAUAAAUAAAUGGAUGUUUUUCACAUUAAAAUCGGUGUUCCCU
This 253-nucleotide long non-coding RNA is filed under the name Lathyrus oleraceus (garden pea). Its description in RNAcentral is "Pisum sativum (pea) long non-coding RNA (PSAT_LNC001407)". The record is from RNAcentral. Lineage: Eukaryota; Viridiplantae; Streptophyta; Magnoliopsida; Fabales; Fabaceae.